Molecule: transfer RNA, 76 nt
Filed under: Cordylochernes scorpioides
Lineage: Eukaryota; Metazoa; Arthropoda; Arachnida; Pseudoscorpiones; Chernetidae
Description: tRNA-Thr
Rfam family: tRNA (bases 5-70)
About the family: Transfer RNA (tRNA) molecules are approximately 80 nucleotides in length. Their secondary structure includes four short double-helical elements and three loops (D, anti-codon, and T loops).
Source: RNAcentral
GUCCAGGGUAGCCUAGUGGUCAUGGCAUCUGCCCGGUAAGCGGAAGGUCGUGGGUUCGAUUCCCAUCCCUUUGACA